RNAcentral lists this ribosomal RNA (156 nucleotides) under Gemmatimonas sp. 13_1_20CM_3_60_15. Its description in RNAcentral is "partial 16S ribosomal RNA". It matches the Rfam family "Bacterial small subunit ribosomal RNA", at positions 1 to 154 of the family's 1533-position model. The record is from RNAcentral. Lineage: Bacteria; Pseudomonadati; Gemmatimonadota; Gemmatimonadia; Gemmatimonadales; Gemmatimonadaceae.
AUCAUUGGAGAGUUUGAUCCUGGCUCAGGACGAACGCUGGCGGCGUGCCUAACACAUGUAAGUCGCACGGGACUCGGGGGGCAACUCUCGAGUUCAGUGGCAGACGGGUGCGUAACACGUGAGAAACUUGUCCAACGGCGGGGGAUAGCCGGCCCA